Molecule: non-coding RNA, 90 nt
Organism: Acanthosepion pharaonis
Lineage: Eukaryota; Metazoa; Mollusca; Cephalopoda; Sepiida; Sepiidae
Source: the annotation of a GenBank genome assembly
CCACAUCACGUUGAAUCAUCAAAGUUAAGCAACGUUGAGCCUGAUCAGUACUUAGAUAGGUGACCGCUUGGGAAUACCAGAUGCUGUAUG